GAUGAACGCUGGCGGCGUGCCUAAUACAUGCGAGUCGAGCGAACGGACGAGAAGCUUGCUUCUCUGAUGUUAGCGGCGGACGGGUGAGUAACACGUGGAUAACCUACCUAUAAGACUGGGAUAACUUCGGGAAACCGUAGCUAAUACCGGAUAAUAUUUUGAACCGCAUGGUUCAAAAGUGAAAGACGGUCUUGCUGUCACUUAUAGAUGGAUCCGCGCUGCAUUAGCUAGUUGGUAAGGUAACGGCUUACCAAGGCAACGAUGCAUAGCCGACCUGAGAGGGUGAUCGGCCACACUGGAACUGAGACACGGUCCUGACUCCUACGGGAGGCAGCAGUAGGGAAUCUUCCGCAAUGGGCGAAAGCCUGACGGAGCAACGCCGCGUGAGUGAUGAAGGUCUUCGGAUCGUAAAACUCUGUUAUUAGGGAAGAACAUAUGUGUAAGUAACUGUGCACAUCUUGACGGUACCUAAUCAGAAAGCCACGGCUAACUACGUG
Molecule: ribosomal RNA, 497 nt
Filed under: uncultured bacterium
Lineage: Bacteria
Description: partial 16S ribosomal RNA
Rfam family: Bacterial small subunit ribosomal RNA
Source: RNAcentral